UAUUACAUAAAAAUAAGGUUUAUAAUUGCCGUUGACGAUGUUUACCAUGGAAGACUGAAGGAGUUUAACCCCUCAGAAAAAUAUGUACGAAGUGAAAGCCAAAGUCUUUUGAAGAAUUUUUCUAUCUCCCGAGGAGUUAAAACGCCGGAUUAUUGAAUUUCCUGAGGAAAACCGGGUGUGGAAUUUGCUGGAAGAUGGUUUAGGAAGGACGGAGCGAGGAGAGUGCGGCCGAGGCGGAGCUCGAGCGGCGAGGCGGCGGCGGCCGGUGGAGCGCGGGCUGGGCGCGCGGUGCGGCCGUUGGUCAUGGCGCUGUGCGGCACCACGGCGGCGGCGGGCCAGCAGCGCCAAAGCGUCGCCAAGCUGAUGGCUUAUAACGGCGCCGGGGCCGCCCAUCACCAUCACCACCACCACCACCACCAUCACAACAACCAUCAUCACCACAGUAGCAGCAGCAGCAGCAGCAACCAUCACCAGCAGCCGCCUCAUCACCCGCCGCCUCCUCACCAUCACCACCAUCUACACCCCGGCGCUGCUACUACUACUGCUGCUGGCGGCGGCGGCGCCGCUGCUGCUGCUGGGGGAGGUGGGGGGGCAGGAGGAGGAGGAGGCGGAGGAGGAGGCGGCAGCGGCGGCGGCAUCGGCACGGCGGUACACCCGGUCCAGCAUCACCAUCACCCGGCGGCCGCCGCCGCCGCUGCCGCCGCUGCUGCCGCCGCCGCCGCCAGCUCGGCCGCCGUCUCGUCCUCCUCGUCCUCUUCAUCCUCGUCGUCCGCCGCCGCCUCGGCCGCCGCCGCGGCGGCAGCAGCCGCCGCGGCGGCGGCGGCGAUGCUGAACCCGGGCCAGGCGCCGUACUUCCCGUCCCCGGCGCCGGCCGCCGCCGCCGCCUCGGUGCAGAUUCACGCCGCCGCGGCCGCCGCCGCCGCCAAGGCGCAUCAGCUGGACAUCGAGCCCGACAGACCCAUCGGAUACGGAGCCUUCGGAGUCGUCUGGUCAGUGACGGAUCCUAGGGAUGGAAAGAGAGUUGCACUCAAAAAGAUGCCCAACGUCUUCCAGAAUCUAGUUUCCUGUAAGAGGGUCUUCCGUGAGCUGAAGAUGCUCUGCUUCUUCAAACAUGAUAAUGUGCUCUCUGCGCUCGAUAUACUCCAACCUCCACAUAUUGACUACUUUGAGGAAAUCUAUGUUGUCACAGAGCUAAUGCAAAGUGACCUUCACAAGAUCAUCGUGUCUCCACAACCAUUGAGUUCAGAUCAUGUCAAAGUUUUCCUCUACCAGAUUUUGAGAGGACUGAAGUAUCUGCAUUCAGCUGGCAUAUUACACAGAGACAUUAAACCAGGGAACCUUCUUGUGAACAGCAACUGUGUCCUUAAGCAAUUUCUUCCAGUUCAUUUACGUGAGUUGGGAUUUGGUGGAAUUGUUAUAAUGGACGUAAGCAGUCAUAGAUGUGGCUAUUGGCUAUUCUUUUCUGCUUUGAGGAUUUGUGACUUUGGUCUUGCCAGAGUAGAAGAACUUGAUGAAUCUCGUCACAUGACCCAGGAAGUUGUCACUCAGUAUUACCGAGCACCAGAAAUCCUGAUGGGUAGUCGCCAUUACACUAAUGCCAUUGAUAUCUGGUCCGUAGGGUGCAUCUUUGCAGAGCUUUUAGGCCGUAGAAUCUUAUUCCAGGCUCAAAGUCCCAUUCAACAGUUAAUUAUUUGCCUCUGGCAGUUGGACUUGAUCACAGACCUAUUGGGAACUCCAUCACUAGAAGCCAUGCGGACAGCAUGUGAAGGUGCCAAGGCUCACAUACUCAGGGGUCCUCAUAAACAGCCAUCACUUCCUGUCCUUUACACACUAUCCAGCCAGGCUACCCAUGAAGCUGUCCACCUCCUCUGCAGGAUGUUAGUUUUUGAUCCUUCAAAAAGAAUCUCUGCAAAGGAUGCCCUGGCCCAUCCGUACUUAGAUGAAGGACGGCUCCGGUACCAUACUUGUAUGUGCAAAUGCUGUUAUACCACCUCUACAGGACGAGUUUACACCAAUGAUUUUGAGCCCAUCACCAAUCCCAAAUUUGAUGACAGCUUUGAAAAAAACCUGACAUCUGUUAGGCAGGUUAAAGAACUCAUUCAUCAAUUCAUUCUGGAACAGCAGAAAGGGAACAGGGUUCCGCUAUGCAUCAACCCACAGUCUGCUGCAUUUAAAAGCUUUAUCAGAGUACAGAAGAUAUUGCAAGUCUAGUUGCUGAUAAAGAAGGAAUAAUUUACUUGUAAUGGACAAGUGUGUGUUUUCUUCUAAAACUUCGUGACUGGGUUAGAAGUCAAGCCAAACGUUCUCUUCAAUUUGAAGCUCCACAGUAGCUCAGCCCUCUGAGAUGCCCCCAUCUCCACUGGUAUGGGAGUAAGUGGAAGAAACUACUGAUGACAAACAUUUUAGGUUCUCACUAGAGUCUAAAAUUUGCAGUACCAUUUAUGUCGGGACAAGUGUGUAAUUUUACUUAUAAAAUUUUUAAAAGUUAAAAUAAACCACUGAUAAUUGUAAAGAAUAUACUUUUAGGAAUAUGCUGGACUUGUAUUUUUUAGGGAUAAAAUUGGUGGUUGUGCUUUGAAAUAAAGCAGCUUUAGCAAGAGCUGCACAGUUUGUAUGUAUUUAUGGAACCAUGUGCAGCCUUCGUUUUUGGCUUUGGAAAAACAAAAGCUGCACUAAAAUGAACUGGGUGUCUUGACGUUGAAGUGGGACAUGGAACAGGCAUGUACAGGAUCUCUAAGGAAUCAACGCUGACCCAUUCCUGAAGACACUUGGAACUGAGACUGGCUAAGAAUACAAAGUUUAUGCCGACCAAUCAUGAAGUCACGUUGGUUGAUAAGGCUGUUUAAUGAAAUGGGCAUGUCACCUGACAGAUCAAUUCUUUAGCUUCUCUUCAGAGCUGUGACAGUGGUUUGCUGUUGUUUGUAAAACAUUGUGAUUAGAAAGAGAUGGAGUGAGUGUGGAUUUAUCACACAAAGUAAUUUAUGUUUCCCCAGUCCCUUAAUUAUAUUUAACCAAUUUUUAGAAACAUUUUGUUUUAUUUCUGCAGUCAAACCUCAAGCAUGCAUCAUCCCACAUCACUUGUGUAUAUAAGUCCAGUGUUGGGUAGAUUUUAAAAGUCUUGACAUUACUGUAUAGAGGAAUUAGCUUGCACAUUUUAGGUCUGUGAAAUAUUCCGUGGAAGUUAUUUUCAGCACUGGACAGUGUAACAGGAAAAAAAGCAGCACAUAGGCGAUUAUGUUAAUUGUGUCUUGUGUCUUUAGGCAGAACUGUGUGGAAGUGUUGAUCUGAAACGUCACAGUAGUGCAGUUUUAAUAUCCUUUCUGACAAAUCCUUAUCUACUGGAACACUGAACUAUUCUGUGUAUAUGUAUAUAUGAACAGAAAUUGAAGGCUCUACCUCCAGGAGUAUACAACUUGGUUUGUUUACCUCCACGUUUUUUUUAAAAACAAUUCAGCGUGGGGAUUUAAAACUUGAAUGUCCCUUCCAGCUUUUAUAUUUAAAAAAAAAAAAUUUUUUCACAUGUACGAAGGAACCUUUAUGGAUUGUCUUAAAUACACAAUUGUGUUCAAAGCUGAGAAUAUGACCCCAGGCUCGGUCAUUAGUACUUGACUGUUAAAUAACUGUAGUUCAUAUCUGUAUUUAGCAUUGGACUCUUGCUGCGAGUGACCCAGAGCAAAGGUGUGCACAGAUUUCAGUUAGAUCCCUAAUAUUUUUUUCCUUUUAAAACUUUAUCUUAAAUGAAGUACUGGCUUGCUGUGACAAAGAAUCGUCAUGCUGAAAAUUGCAUCAAUUUCAAUUAGAAACAAUGAAGAGGUUUAUGAAUUUUUUAAAAAUACAAAGUUAUUAAGCCUCCAGAGCUUGAAUAAUAAAUGAAGUUUUAAAGGCUUGUAUUUGAAGAUUUCUGUUUUCAGUAAACGGGGGCAAAAAAGUUCUGAGAGCCUGCUGAGAAACCAGUUUCAAGACUUCACCUGAGGUUCAUCGUCCUAUGUGACACAUUUGCCGGUCACUUUGUACAAUGUAGAUUUGAAGUACAGUGGUGGAAAUUCAUUAAAUGUGACAUUUAAAAGAAAA
Molecule: RNA transcript, 4071 nt
Organism: Carcharodon carcharias (great white shark)
Lineage: Eukaryota; Metazoa; Chordata; Chondrichthyes; Lamniformes; Lamnidae
Gene: nlk2
Gene name: nemo-like kinase, type 2
Exons: 13
Source: RefSeq, a predicted model, not a curated record